Molecule: ribosomal RNA, 442 nt
Filed under: uncultured bacterium
Lineage: Bacteria
Description: partial 16S ribosomal RNA
Rfam family: Bacterial small subunit ribosomal RNA
Source: RNAcentral
CCUACGGGGGGCAGCAGUGGGGAAUAUUGGGCAAUGGGCGCAAGCCUGACCCAGCAACGCCGCGUGAAGGAAGACGGCUUUCGGGUUGUAAACUUCUUUUGUCAGGGAAGAGUAGAAGACGGUACCUGACGAAUAAGCCACGGCUAACUACGUGCCAGCAGCCGCGGUAAUACGUAGGUGGCAGGCGUUGUCCGGAUUUACUGGGUGUAAAGGGCGUGUAGCCGGGUUGACAAGUCAGAUGUGAAAUCCUGCGGCUUAACCGCAGAACUGCAAUUGAAACUGGUGAUCUUGAGUACUGGAGAGGCAGAUGGAAUUCGUAGUGGAGCGGUGAAAUGCGUAGAUAUUAGGAGGAACACCAGUGGCGAAGGCGGUCUGCUGGACAGCAACUGACGGUGAGGCGCGAAAGCGUGGGGAGCAAACAGGAUUAGAUACCCCUGUAGUC